This 253-nucleotide ribosomal RNA is filed under the name uncultured bacterium. Its description in RNAcentral is "partial 16S ribosomal RNA". It matches the Rfam family "Bacterial small subunit ribosomal RNA", at positions 524 to 776 of the family's 1533-position model. The record is from RNAcentral.
UACGUAGGUGGCAAGCGUUAUCCGGAUUUACUGGGUGUAAAGGGCGUGUAGGCGGGACUGCAAGUCAGAUGUGAAAACCACGGGCUCAACCUGUGGCCUGCAUUUGAAACUGUAGUUCUUGAGUACUGGAGAGGCAGACGGAAUUCCUAGUGUAGCGGUGAAAUGCGUAGGUAUUAGGAGGAACACCAGUGGCGAAGGCGGUCUGCUGGACAGCAACUGACGCUGAGGCGCGAAAGCGUGGGGAGCAAACAGG